AUAGGUUCAGGAAGUCUCUUACUAAUUGUCACAGAUAGCGGAUGAGAUCUGACUACAUCAUUUUGCUGGCUGCACUCACAGGAGGCCCCGGGGGUCCUUCAUCCACAGGCCCCUCCAGGCUGCCCAGAAUCCCUGCCCGCCCCCUCCCACCCCACACUCCCAUCGGUGAUGGCGCUCUAUCUCCCCUGUAAAUCCUCAGGAAUUUUCGGGAGAUGACGUCAACUUCGUGUGCUUACUCGUUCAUCCAGCGGGUAAACCGUACUAGGUAAGAGCAGGUAACACGCAGAUCACAAGAAUUACAGCGCACACGGAGGUCUGAUAACACGAGGUAAGAUCACAAAGCUGUCGGGACACUGAGGGGGAGAACAUGAUGAUAAUGACAGUGGGUGGCAUUUAGGAACACAGUGUGAAAACACUUAUCGGCAUAAAUCUUACUACAAGAGGGACUCACUCAUUCUCUGUUCCUUUAACAGUGUUGGGUGCACACGACUCAUCAGGACAUAAAUUAAGGAUAUAAACAGGACACGUGUGUGCACACACGCACACACACGCACCCAGAGAAGCACAAAGAUAACCACACCACGUAGCAGGUGCCACGAGAAGUAAAUAGGAGGUGCCCUUAAGGGACAAGGUGCUACACCCUUUCCACUAGAAAUCAACCAAUGCUUAGAGCAGUACAAGUAACAUUAAAGGGGGUCUUUCCUAAAAUUUUGCCACGGUAGGGGCGCCUGGUGGCUCAGUCGGUUAAGUGUGUGACUCAAUUUCAGCUCAGGUCAUGAUCUUGAGGUUCGUGGGUUCAAGCCCCUCAUUGGGCUCUGUGCUGACAGCAUGGAGCCUGCUUGGGAUUCUCUUUCUCCCUCUGUCUCUGCCCCUCCCCUGUUAGCUGUCUCUGUCUCUCUGUCUCUCUCUCUCUCUCACAAACAUAAAUAAAACAUUAAAAAAUUAAAACUAAAUCAUGAGAUUCUACCUCAGUAACACAAGAUUUGAUCUUUCAAAACUGCACAGACCUAAAAGCAGAGUCUGAUCAGCCAUGAACUGUCCCCAGGCAUGUGACUGCUCUCUCCUUUCGCUCUGCAGUAAAACCAGUCACAGGAGAAGGAGAGACAUGUGGAUGUAUGGGUGGGUGUGGUCAGUGGUAUGGGGACGAGAGGGUGUAGGCCAGAGUCAAGUCACAAGGCCAGGAAGCCAAGCCUCGUCUGUGGCUAAGCAACUGUGUGCACUUGACCAGACCACUUGGGCUAAACCUCCCUGUCAAGCCUGGCUUGGUGAAAUCAUAAUAAAUUAUCUAGCCCCUGGUGGGGCAUAAACCCAAUACUCAGUAAGUGUUAAUUUUCUUUCGUAUACCUGCAGAUCACAAUGAAAACCCUUCAUCUCUUGUAAUCUAAAAGACUAACUGUAAACAAGAAUAAAUAAUGAAAUCAUUUGAAGGACAUCCUUCAUGAGAAAAAAGGCAUCCCUGUGCUCACCAUGCUUUGAGUGCAUAGAUUUACACGCCAAGAAAGAGUAACAGAAAUCGCGUUUCCAACCUCCUUUGUCAUAGGGGUGGUAAAAUUCAAGUCCAGAGAUGGAAAGUGACUUUCUCCGGAACACACAGCCAGUUAAUGGCUGAAUCAGGACAAAAUCCCAGUAAUCAGCCGCCCAACUAAUUCCCCAUUCUACUGUAUCCUUCUAGAUCCACAGGACUGUCAGUUAUAAAUGACGCUUAAUGGCACCAAUGCCUCUGUGGCCAUUAAAAACGUCUCUCACCUUCAAAUUAGAGUGAAGAUGGAAAAUUGUAAGUUCCUCCCACACAAUGGGCACUGAAUGCGGGACAGAAGCGUUGAGGAAGAGAUGGGCGGUUGGGGGAGAAGAGGAGUGAGCACAGAAGAAGGGAUCGGGAGUGAAGAGGGACACAGAGGCCCCCUACUUUGCAACUGUGCCUAAACGGAAGCCCCCCUUCAGCCCAAAAGCUGAAUCUGAAAAUGCCCCCAGACGGAUUUCUCCUUCCCUCUGUCUAGAAGCCUCUUAGAGGAGACAAAAGACACCGCUCUCCCAGAUUAGACAAAACCUAUGAAUGCUCAGGCGGAAAGGGAAACGAGACUGUUUACCUGCAAUAGUUUAAAAGACAGGUUCGGUUGGAGUUUUCUUAAAUCCCUUCAACCUUAGGUUUUGGCAGAAGCACUCCCAGACCGCAGGUUUCGGGGGAUCCCAAGCCUGCUCGUUUAUCCGCCAGACGUGAGCCUUCACAGAACCAGUACCCGGGCUGCUCUGGGACAGCAAGCAUCCAGUUAAGGAAGAGGGGCGAAAAAUCUAAUUCUAACCUAGCAAACUCGACAGCAUCAUUUUAAAAAAGAUUCCCAUCUCAAAGAAAGUCUACAAGCAACGAGUGAGGCUACAAGGCCAUGAUUAUGUCCCGGCAUCGUAAUAAUUGCGGAAGAAUUGUCCAAUUAGCAAUCCCACACUUAGGGAGUUCCAUCGUGUUGUGGCCUGUCUUCAUCUGUUUUGAGGGAAAAUUCUGCCUUCGGGAGUCCGAAAUAAUGACAGAACUCUUCACUAUGUCUGUGAGUUUGGAUGGAGUCCUCAGGGUACACGGCAACCUUGCCUGGUAAUGAAGCAGAGAAAUCACCUGUUCCUGCUAAAACCUGCUCACACCCUCCACAGCCAGGAGAGGCCCUGGCUGAUGUCCCGGAGGAAAGGACAACCUCUGGAAGGUGACAGAACCAGGAGCAUCUGGGGUUAGGAUCCUCAGUCCUUCUUGAGCCAAACUCUUACCUACAGGCCUCGUAAAAAAAAAAAAAAAAGGGUCUAGAAAACAUAGAAACAUCAUCUAAGGUUCUGUAAAAUUCUGUUUCACAAGUAUUUAUGCGAUGCCCAGUUCACAUGGGUCUUGGACACCUGGAAACCGAACUUCGAAGCCUUCCUCCUCAACCAACCAGCAACAGUCUUCUUCCCCCUGCCCUUCAAACCUCUGUUGGUUGCCGCUUGAACAGCUGGGAAAAUGCCGCUUCCUCCAACGCGGCUCUGCCCAACCGUAAAGGGUGCGUUAGCCUCAAAAGGCAGAGAACGGCCCCACCGAAGGAGAAGCUUCUAGCAAGCAGAAGUGACUUGGGGACGCUGCGUGAGGCAGAGUUGUGGCCCCGGCAAGAGGACGUGUGGGGGCUGCCGGGACACUGCAGACAAGGGAGGGGGAAGGGACUGGACAAGAACGUUUCUAAAGUCAUUGCCAACGCACCGUAGUGGCCUGAGAGGCUUUAAAAUCCAGCGUCAGGUUCUCAAUGUUUAUAGAAGCUAUGAGAAUUUUCAA
Molecule: long non-coding RNA, 3283 nt
Organism: Acinonyx jubatus (cheetah)
Lineage: Eukaryota; Metazoa; Chordata; Mammalia; Carnivora; Felidae
Exons: 2
Source: RefSeq, a predicted model, not a curated record